UUCAAUGAAUGAAGAAGUAGUGCCAAUUGCAAGCAUUCAAUCCCAGGAAGACGGACAUGCAUUCUACAUUGAAGCAAAAAUAUCCUUGCCAAAUAGCCUCAAGUCUUUCUGUGUUUUGAAUUGUUCAAGCUGUGGACAAGAAGUACGCAAGACAACCAAGAGAAAAAUUCACCGUAUGAAUUGUAAUAAGCGAGUAUGUUGGUUCCCGUGUGUCGAUUUGAUGUGAAUCUCAAAGAUGCCUCGUUCCCGUAGAAUCGGGAUGAUUAUGGACAAAGAAGGAGAAAAACUAUUAUCUCUUACUGCAGCAGAGAUUUACGAAAGAGUUUCAGCUGAGAAUGACAACCUGCCUGUGGAAGAUUUCCAAAGCAAAUUUGACCAGAAGCUGUUCAGAAUUCAAGUGAAGAAGCCAUUUGGUCGUGCUUCAUCCACAUCAUCUUCAAAAAUGUAUAUCCAGUCAGGCAUUGAAAAGGAAAACAUUAUUCAUUCUCUCUCCA
Long non-coding RNA from Lycium ferocissimum, 494 nucleotides. RefSeq lists it as uncharacterized. Lineage: Eukaryota; Viridiplantae; Streptophyta; Magnoliopsida; Solanales; Solanaceae. The transcript is spliced from 4 exons. The record is from RefSeq and is a predicted model, not a curated record.